UCAGAUUGAACGCUGGCGGCAGGCCUAACACAUGCAAGUCGAACGGUAACAGGAAGAAGCUUGCUCUUUGCUGACGAGUGGCGGACGGGUGAGUAAUGUCUGGGAAACUGCCUGAUGGAGGGGGAUAACUACUGGAAACGGUAGCUAAUACCGCAUAACGUCGCAAGACCAAAGAGGGGGACCUUCGGGCCUCUUGCCAUCGGAUGUGCCCAGAUGGGAUUAGCUAGUAGGUGGGGUAACGGCUCACCUAGGCGACGAUCCCUAGCUGGUCUGAGAGGAUGACCAGCCACACUGGAACUGAGACACGGUCCAGACUCCUACGGGAGGCAGCAGUGGGGAAUAUUGCACAAUGGGCGCAAGCCUGAUGCAGCCAUGCCCGCGUGUAUGAAGAAGGCCUUCGGGUUGUAAAGUACUUUCAGCGGGGAGGAAGGGAGUAAAGUUAAUACCUUUGCUCAUUGACGUUACCCGCAGAAGAAGCACCGGCUAACUCCGUGCCAGCCGCGGC
RNAcentral lists this ribosomal RNA (505 nucleotides) under uncultured bacterium. RNAcentral's name for it is "bacterial SSU rRNA". It matches the Rfam family "Bacterial small subunit ribosomal RNA", at positions 24 to 518 of the family's 1533-position model. The record is from RNAcentral.